Molecule: ribosomal RNA, 393 nt
Filed under: uncultured bacterium
Lineage: Bacteria
Description: partial 16S ribosomal RNA
Rfam family: Bacterial small subunit ribosomal RNA
Source: RNAcentral
AUACGGAGGGUCCAAGCGUUAUCCGGAUUUAUUGGGUUUAAAGGGUGCGUAGGCGGCCGAUUAAGUUAGAGGUGAAAUCCCGUGGCUCAACCACGGAACUGCCUCUGAUACUGGUUGGCUAGAAAAUGGUUGCUGUGGGCGGAAUGUGUAGUGUAGCGGUGAAAUGCUUAGAGAUUAUACAGAACACCGAUUGCGAAGGCAGCUCACAAAACCAAUGUGGACGCUGAGGCCCGAAAGCGUGGGGAGCAAACAGGAUUAGAUACCCUGGUAGUCCACGCCGUAAACGAUGAUAACUCGCUGCUGGCGAUACAAUGUCAGUGGCUUAGCGAAAGCGUUAAGUUAUCCACCUGGGGAGUACGUUCGCAAGAAUGAAACUCAAAUGAAUUGACGGGG